GUCCCUUUUCUCUAGUUUCUCUAGUUAAAGAUAGUAUUUUUAUUUGGCUUACUUUAAUCAAUCGGGUUAAUUUCAAACCGCUACGAAGGGAACCAACUUGAUGAUCUCCUCACAAGUCUCCGCAGGAGCGUAGAGUUAGCAAAAGCUUCGAAACGGGAGCAACUGCAAGAUAAAAUGUGAUGAAGCAACAAUUUGCUAUUGGGGUUAACGAUGUCACUUGGGUGCUCGAGAGAAUGUCUGAAAGAGAAAAUCUUGAUUGAAACUCAUAACAUUAAGACACCUCCCAGAAGAGCUUCAUUGGCUCCACUCCAGGUGGGAGGAGGAGGAGGUGGUGGUGCCCUUGCCUACUGAGCCCGAGCUUUCGCCAUUGUUUAAUAAGUGUGAUGCCAUUCUUUGUGAUCCGCGCUUCAGAGAAUACGGGUAGCCCUAUUACUUCCUAAGGAAUGGACUCGAAAGGAUAACGGGUGAUUUCUUUCAUCAUCUUCACGAUGUCAAAUGCGGUCUUUGGAGGCGCUUCAAUAUGUUCGCUGAUGAAGUGGAUCGUGAGAUCCACCAGUAGCAGUUCGAUCACCACCGAGCAUAGAGUUAGCAAAAGCUUCGAAAGGGGAGCAAUUGCCAGAUAAAAUUUGGAUGAAGCAACAACUAACGCAACAAUUAGCGAUCGGAGAUAAUGAUGUCACCAAGGUGCUCGAGAGAAUGUCUGAAAGAGAAAAUUUUGCAGAUAAUGAUAGCAUUAAAAGACCACUUAGAAAAGCUCCCUUGGUUCCUC
Asparagus officinalis (garden asparagus) is the source of this 769-nucleotide long non-coding RNA. RefSeq lists it as uncharacterized. Lineage: Eukaryota; Viridiplantae; Streptophyta; Magnoliopsida; Asparagales; Asparagaceae. The record is from RefSeq and is a predicted model, not a curated record. The transcript is spliced from 6 exons.